Molecule: long non-coding RNA, 843 nt
Filed under: Homo sapiens (human)
Lineage: Eukaryota; Metazoa; Chordata; Mammalia; Primates; Hominidae
Description: non-protein coding lnc-NKAIN3-14:9
Source: RNAcentral
AUUCUGUCAUACCCUGAUAAUACUGAUAAGAAAAUUGGGAAUCUAAGAGAACGUAAGGAGAGUGAUGGUGACAUAUUGAACCUAAGGUGAUACUACAUGAUCCCUGUUUCUGGCAUUACACUCUUAUUUUCCCCUCCUCUUCAAUGUGGGUAGGACCUGUGACUUGUAUCUAACCAAUAGAAUAUGACAAAGGUAAUAGGUUGUUAUGCGAUGUCAUAGAAGACUCCAUAGUACCAGCUGACUCAGUCUAGAAUCUUGGUGUGCUUGCAGGCUUUGAAGAACAAGCUGCCAUGAAUCCUGCAGCUACAAGGAAAUGAACUCUAUUAACUUGAGUGAGCUUAAAACUAGAUCCUUCCCCAGUCAAGCCUCCAGGUGAGAAUUCAAUCCUGGCUGGCACCUGGAUUGCAGCUUACAGAAGACCCAGCUAAGGCCAUGUCUGGACUUUAAAUCCACAGGAACUGCAAGAUAUUCUUCAUUAUUCCAUCAUCAUCUCAAACCUCUUGGGUAUAGUGUUUGACUACUACUGUGACCAUAAAUUCCAAUAAAACCUAGGAAAAAUGAAACCACUACAUUAACUGAAAGGAUGUGCCUGUCACAGUCUCCACCAGAAGCUUUAUCUUACUACAGAGUCCAGAUGCAUUAAGGCUGUGUUCGAGCCAUGAUCUUCCUCUGAAGAAGAAAUGAAGAAGAAAUUUAUCUUAUUUUUGGAUAUAGUGUUCUUAGUUGGCAGUUUAAUUAUUAUUUUUACUUCAUCACUUUGUAUACGUCAUCGCACUUUCUCCUGGCCUAUAAGAUCUCUCCUGAGAAAUUUUACGUUCUACUUUACUGGAACUUCAUUAAAUA